Molecule: ribosomal RNA, 253 nt
Filed under: uncultured bacterium
Lineage: Bacteria
Description: partial 16S ribosomal RNA
Rfam family: Bacterial small subunit ribosomal RNA
Source: RNAcentral
UACGUAGGGGGCGAGCGUUAUCCGGAUUUACUGGGUGUAAAGGGAGCGUAGACGGCGGAACAAGUCAGAAGUGAAAACCCGGGGCUCAACCCUGGGAGUGCUUUUGAAACUGUUUGGCUGGAGUGCAGGAGAGGUAAGCGGAAUUCCUAGUGUAGCGGUGAAAUGCGUAGAUAUUAGGAGGAACACCAGUGGCGAAGGCGGCUUACUGGACUGUAACUGACGUUGAGGCUCGAAAGCGUGGGGAGCAAACAGG